RNAcentral lists this ribosomal RNA (433 nucleotides) under uncultured bacterium. Its description in RNAcentral is "bacterial SSU rRNA". It matches the Rfam family "Bacterial small subunit ribosomal RNA", at positions 429 to 865 of the family's 1533-position model. The record is from RNAcentral.
ACUGCCUUUGAAUGGGAAGAAACGCACUUUUGCGAAAGUGUUUGACGGUACUAUUAGAAUAAGCACCGGCUAACUCCGUGCCAGCAGCCGCGGUAAUACGGAGGGUGCAAGCGUUAUCCGGAUUUAUUGGGUUUAAAGGGUGCGUAGGCGGCUUAAUAAGUCUGGGGUUAAAGGCGGCAGCUUAACUGUACGCAUGCCCUGGAAACUGUUAAGCUUGAGUGACUUGGAGGUAGCUGGAAUUCCCUGUGUAGCGGUGAAAUGCAUAGAUACGGGGAGGAAUACCGAUUGCGAAGGCAUGUUACUACGAGUAAACUGACGCUGAUGCACGAAAGCGUGGGGAUCAAACAGGAUUAGAUACCCUGGUAGUCCACGCCGUAAACGAUGAUUACUAGUUGUUGGUCGAAGGAUCAGUGACCAAGGGAAACCGAUAAGU